Molecule: long non-coding RNA, 2031 nt
Organism: Bombus terrestris (buff-tailed bumblebee)
Lineage: Eukaryota; Metazoa; Arthropoda; Insecta; Hymenoptera; Apidae
Exons: 2
Source: RefSeq, a predicted model, not a curated record
AGAAAUGAUAAGGUAAUCCAUUGUUUUCAUGCGGUACGAUAGCUUCUGAAGCGAGCAACUUUCUCGCUUCAACGGAAACAAAAAUCUGUUUAUGACUUUGGAACUCUUAAUUUUUCCAUCCAUGUCUAUUACGACCUUUUUCCAUUGUUUGGCAAAUACGAUCUACCUCAGAAGCUAUGAAUCCUUUAUUUGCUUCACCUUGUACAUUAAAAGUUACAUUUAAGCAAACUAUCGUAAAAAUUUUUACGUCAUUAAACUUUCAAAUUUCUCACAACAAUUACGUUUGCUUUUUAAUGUUAGUCAAAGGUUCAAAUAACGUAUAAAUUAAUUCGAUCUCUUCUCUUAACGAUACGCUUAAUAAAGAAGUAACAGGAAGGGAGGUACGGAAUGAACAAAAGAUAAUUCGAAUUAAAUGAAUUCAAAUUUUGUUCAUGUAACUAAUAGAAGAAACAUGACAGAGAAGAGACGGUAUACAAUAAAAAGGGCAUAGGUAGUUAGAGAGAGACGAAAAUAGCGUAGUUACGAUCGAACGUGAAAAGGACAAGUAUCGAGAGAAAGAGAAAAAGUGUAACCUGUGCUGAAAUCAAACGGGAAGGAGAAAGGAGGGUUGCAACGUUAAAGAGAAACGAAGAGAGAACAACGAUAGAAAGGAAAAAGUAACGCGUAGGAAAGAGAUGGAACAUCGACAAAGAAGGAGAAGGAUGACCGCUGAAGGUGGGAGUAGGAAAGAUAAAGAGAAAGACGGACGAAGCCGGUUACCAGUGCGGCUGACUCACCGAUCGUUCUCGUUGCGCUAUCAGUGACGAGUCUGCUUGACCAUUGCGCAUCUGUGACGAGAUAAUCAGAAAAAUUAAUUGACCAGAUGUCCCGAGCCGAUUUUUGUCACGAUACGAUCAUAUAGAACACGGUGAACUAAUUUUAUCUUUAAUAAAUCGUCUCGUAUAUUAUUGAGAAAAGAUUCGUUCGAAAAUUUCUAUUUUCAAGGAGCAAUCAAGAUUUCGAAGGCAACAAAUACAUUGCUUCAAGAGAAGGGAAAAUAAAAUGUACUCAAAGUGUAUCAUUUUUGUACAGCUGUAUAAAUCUCACUUGGUGAUUUGAGUAAGUUUAAAAGAAAAAGAAACGAAGAAAAACGGAUCCGUAAAAAUAUCGUUGAAAAAUUACUGGUUACGGUUCACUUUGGUAAUAUCCUGUCGAGUCACGUAAUUAUAUAAAAUAUCAUGUUAUGUUGUUUCCACGAACUUCCAUCAGCUCGAUUUUCUUUAAAUAUUUUUACGCCGAAAAUAAAUAACAUAAUAAUAAGGUCAUUACGAAAUGUUGAUCCUCGACACACAAAAUGAUAUACGUUCUCGAUAAUUUAAAAAAAAAUAAGCAAAUUCGUAUACUAUCGUUAUAUUUUGGUAAGAAUUCUGAUGAGUCACGUUCGAGAGUCGCAAGAUUGCAAAUGAAUUCAUAAACAUUCACGGUGAUUAACAACCGAUGAUAAUUGUUAUUAGCAUAUGCACGAUUGACUUUUAUAUAAAAGAGAUAUACACGAUAAAGAUUUUCGUAAGUACGCAGCGUCCUCUCAGAACAAGCGACUGGACGAUUAAAGUCCUAUUGUAUAUCCGAUAUAGGAAAAUCUUCUUUUAUAGCGCGAAACCAUUCAAUUCUUCCAUCGAUCGAUUCCCUCAAGGACGAGAACUGCCGGUAUCGUACUUUAGAUUUAAACACCGUGACCCGCGAUCAUUUUGUCGAAACUGUUAUACGAUAUUGAUUACACAACUUAAUUCACAAUUAAAAGAACGUGAGUUUUCAAGUUCUACAGAAAUACAAAUAUUUGUGUAAAAAAUUGCCUAAUUAAAUGCAUGGCGUUUUUCAAUUAUUCAGUAAAAUUUAAUAUAAUAAUCUAUAAGCUGAGAAACUUAUGUAUUAAUAUUUUGAUUAUUAAGCAAAAAUAUCAAUUCUAUAUAUGGAAGAAUAGGAAUUCUGUGCAAUAUGUUAGUAAUAAUGAAAAAGUUUUGUAACAAUAAAGAUUAAUGGUCCUCCAAUGUA